AGAACGAACGCUGGCGGCAUGCCUAACACAUGCAAGUCGAACGAGACCUUCGGGUCUAGUGGCGCACGGGUGCGUAACGCGUGGGAAUCUGCCCUUAGGUACGGAAUAACAGUGAGAAAUUACUGCUAAUACCGUAUGAUGUCUUCGGACCAAAGAUUUAUCGCCUAGGGAUGAGCCCGCGUUGGAUUAGCUAGUUGGUGGGGUAAAGGCCUACCAAGGCGACGAUCCAUAGCUGGUCUGAGAGGAUGAUCAGCCACACUGGGACUGAGACACGGCCCAGACUCCUACGGGAGGCAGCAGUGGGGAAUAUUGGACAAUGGGCGAAAGCCUGAUCCAGCAAUGCCGCGUGAGUGAAGAAGGCCUUAGGGUUGUAAAGCUCUUUUACCCGGGAAGAUAAUGACUGUACCGGGAGAAUAAGCCCCGGCUAACUCCGUGCCAGCAGCCGC
Molecule: ribosomal RNA, 446 nt
Filed under: uncultured bacterium
Lineage: Bacteria
Description: SSU rRNA
Rfam family: Bacterial small subunit ribosomal RNA
Source: RNAcentral